Molecule: ribosomal RNA, 484 nt
Filed under: uncultured bacterium
Lineage: Bacteria
Description: partial 16S ribosomal RNA
Rfam family: Bacterial small subunit ribosomal RNA
Source: RNAcentral
AUUGAACGCUGGCGGCAGGCCUAACACAUGCAAGUCGAGCGGAUGAAGGGAGCCUGCUCCUGGAUUCAGCGGCGGACGGGUGAGUAAUGCCUAGGAAUCUGCCUGGUAGUGGGGGAUAACGUCCGGAAACGGGCGCUAAUACCGCAUACGUCCUGAGGGAGAAAGUGGGGGAUCUUCGGACCUCACGCUAUCAGAUGAGCCUAGGUCGGAUUAGCUAGUUGGUGGGGUAAAGGCCUACCAAGGCGACGAUCCGUAACUGGUCUGAGAGGAUGAUCAGUCACACUGGAACUGAGACACGGACCAGACUCCUACGGGAGGCAGCAGUGGGGAAUAUUGGACAAUGGGCGAAAGCCUGAUCCAGCCAUGCCGCGUGUGUGAAGAAGGUCUUCGGAUUGUAAAGCACUUUAAGUUGGGAGGAAGGGCAGUAAGUUAAUACCUUGCUGUUUUGACGUUACCAACAGAAUAAGCACCGGCUAACUUCGUG